CAGAAAUCACACAAUGCUUAUGAAGAGGUUCUUCUUCAAAAGUAUAAAUAUUCCAUAUGCUCUUUUGACAUUGGCAAAAAAUCCACUAUAAAAAUUUUUAUGCAAAAAUUAUUUAAAAUUAAAUUGUAAAGAGUCACAUAUUUACUUCUGAUGACAGAAAAAACAAAACCAACUACUGAAGAAGAGGAAAGGAAGAAAAACAUGCUAGGCAGCCAAAACUGUUAUUAUGAGAGAGACCAGAAAGCACAUGAGAAUCAUCAAAAAACUCACCAAAGUGGCUAGAAUAGUAGGAUUGUAUAUAAUAGACCUGUAACAUUACUAAGAAAUGGUUGGGGAAGGGUGGGAUGCAGUUAUAGGGUCUGCUCUGCUAAGGAGGAUAAAUCAAAAUAAAAUCAACUAGACCAGGCGAUACCGAAAUUUUCUGUUUGGGUCUGAGUUCAUUCUCUAGAGAAAUCAAAGAAUGAGUUCAUGGACAAAGAUGAGCGAAAGCAAAGUUUUAUUACGGAAAAGCUCCCUGUUGCAGGGAGGGGACCCAAGAAGGUUGUUGGGGCAGUUUCUUUGUCUAGGGGGUUAAUAAGUGCCCUACUAACUUCCUAUUUGGUUGGUUGGAAAAGUUUGGCCCUAGCAACAUACAUACAUUUUAAACUUCAGAAUUCCCACUCAUUUUCCCUGCCCUGUGUGUUCAGGGCCCUUUGUUCUUGUGAUUUAAUCAGCAGAGCCUCCAAGGGCCUAAAGUUUUCCUAGAAAUUUAAGAAGUGCUAUACCCUCAUUCUUUCAAAUGCUCCUAUCUUUAUCU
Pipistrellus kuhlii (Kuhl's pipistrelle) is the source of this 796-nucleotide long non-coding RNA. RefSeq lists it as uncharacterized. The transcript is spliced from 2 exons. The record is from RefSeq and is a predicted model, not a curated record. NCBI's taxonomy places the organism in Eukaryota, Metazoa, Chordata, Mammalia, Chiroptera, Vespertilionidae.